UAAAGUGCGAAAUGUAAUGCGAUUUGCAUGAAUCUGUGAGUCAUUUAAUCUUUGAACGCAACUUGCACCCAUAAUAGAAUAUGGGUAUGUUUGUUUGAGACGGCGAACCGUAUAGUGGGACAUAUGAUCCUUGAGUUGGCCAUGAAACUAAAGACUUGGCUCAAUAUUAGCAUGUUACUAUGCUUGGUGCAUUUGUCAGAGUUAGAGACAUUUGUCUUUUCGAAACAAAUCAACCAUUCCAUUGACUAGCCUAACCUAACCGUCUCAAAUCAAGCAAGAUUACCCGCUGAACUUAA
Molecule: unclassified non-coding RNA, 296 nt
Filed under: uncultured fungus
Lineage: Eukaryota; Fungi
Description: sequence contains ITS1
Rfam family: 5.8S ribosomal RNA (bases 1-104)
Source: RNAcentral